UACGAAGGGGGGCUAGCGUUACUCGGAUUGACUGGGCGUAAAGGGCGCGUAGGCGGUUCGUACAGUCAGACGUGAAAUUCCUGGGCUCAACCUGGGGGCUGCGUUUGAUACGUGCGGGCUUGAGUUCGGAAGAGGGUCGUGGAAUUCCCAGUGUAGAGGUGAAAUUCGUAGAUAUUGGGAAGAACACCGGUGGCGAAGGCGGCGACCUGGUCCGAUACUGACGCUGAGGAGCGAAAGCGUGGGGAGCGAACAGG
This 254-nucleotide ribosomal RNA is filed under the name uncultured bacterium. RNAcentral describes it as "partial 16S ribosomal RNA". It matches the Rfam family "Bacterial small subunit ribosomal RNA", at positions 524 to 776 of the family's 1533-position model. The record is from RNAcentral.